AUCCUUUUUGGUUCAUAAGUGUGAUGACUGGGUAUUCAGUGUUGUGUGAGAUGCACUUCCUUUAUUAUUGGCACAUUACCUAUGUGAUG
RNAcentral lists this small nucleolar RNA (89 nucleotides) under Sciurus vulgaris (Eurasian red squirrel). Its description in RNAcentral is "Small nucleolar RNA U13 (ENSSVLG00005011032.1)". It matches the Rfam family "Small nucleolar RNA U13". The record is from Rfam by way of RNAcentral. Lineage: Eukaryota; Metazoa; Chordata; Mammalia; Rodentia; Sciuridae.